GCUGGGGCUCAGUGGUAGAGAGCUUACCUAGCACGUGUGAGGCCCUGGGUUCAAUUCUCAGCACCGCA
This 68-nucleotide transfer RNA is filed under the name Marmota monax (woodchuck). Its description in RNAcentral is "tRNA.Ala". The record is from RNAcentral. Lineage: Eukaryota; Metazoa; Chordata; Mammalia; Rodentia; Sciuridae.